GGUGCCAUAGCUCAGUUGGUAGAGCAAAGGACUGAAAAUCCUUGUGUCCCCGGUUCGCUUCCUGGUGGCACCA
Molecule: transfer RNA, 73 nt
Filed under: Bacteroides uniformis
Lineage: Bacteria; Pseudomonadati; Bacteroidota; Bacteroidia; Bacteroidales; Bacteroidaceae
Description: tRNA-Phe
Rfam family: tRNA
About the family: Transfer RNA (tRNA) molecules are approximately 80 nucleotides in length.
Source: RNAcentral